CCUACGGGGGGCAGCAGUGGGGAAUAUUGGACAAUGGGGGGAACCCUGAUCCAGCCAUGCCGCGUGUGUGAAGAAGGCCCUCGGGUUGUAAAGCACUUUCAGUGAGGAAGAACGCCUGGUGGUUAAUACCCAUCAGGAAAGACAACACUCACAGAAGAAGCACCGGCUAACUCCGUGCCAGCAGCCGCGGUAAUACGGAGGGUGCGAGCGUUAAUCGGAAUUACUGGGCGUAAAGCGCGCGUAGGUGGCUUGAUAAGCCGGUUGUGAAAGCCCCGGGCUCAACCUGGGAACGGCAUCCGGAACUGUCAAGCUAGAGUGCAGGAGAGGAAAGUAGAAUUCCCGGUGUAGCGGUGAAAUGCGUAGAGAUCGGGAGGAAUACCAGUGGCGAAGGCGGCCUUCUGGACUGACACUGACACUGAGGUGCGAAAGCGUGGGUAGCAAACAGGAUUAGAUACCCUGGUAGUC
This 465-nucleotide ribosomal RNA is filed under the name Vreelandella stevensii. RNAcentral describes it as "partial 16S ribosomal RNA". It matches the Rfam family "Bacterial small subunit ribosomal RNA", at positions 338 to 795 of the family's 1533-position model. Lineage: Bacteria; Pseudomonadati; Pseudomonadota; Gammaproteobacteria; Oceanospirillales; Halomonadaceae. The record is from RNAcentral.